ACAUUAACAAAGUUUAAGAAUAACAUAUUUUAAGAACCUUAAAUAACUAAUUAAAAACAAAUAAAUAUAUGUCAAAUCGGUUUCAAUUUAGAAGUAAUUCUGAACAUUGCAGAAUUAUAUUCAGAAACAGACUUAAAAUCUUGGAGCCUCAGAUGAGCUCAAUCAUAUCGUGCUUGUGGCAGAGUGACCAACUUCAGGUUGUCAGAUCUCUCCUUUAAGCCUUUCCACAAGAUGAGUGGAUCUUUGACUGUGAGAUAUUCAAUUUGCAAACCUUCAUCAAGGUGAUGGCGCAAGAAAAUCAAGGCCUUAACACAGUCUUGGGUGGAUGCUUUAUCUCUGUCUUUAAUGGCGUCUCCAAGACCCAUAGCAUCUAAGUGGAUUUCAGCAUCCAACACCCAUGUCAUAUANNNNN
Molecule: long non-coding RNA, 412 nt
Filed under: Nicotiana benthamiana
Lineage: Eukaryota; Viridiplantae; Streptophyta; Magnoliopsida; Solanales; Solanaceae
Description: long non-coding RNA (NBEN_LNC021056)
Source: RNAcentral